Molecule: ribosomal RNA, 870 nt
Filed under: Kurixalus motokawai
Lineage: Eukaryota; Metazoa; Chordata; Amphibia; Anura; Rhacophoridae
Description: partial 16S rRNA
Rfam family: Bacterial large subunit ribosomal RNA
Source: RNAcentral
UUUCAAUGAGCGUUAAAGCUUAAUUUACCUCAAAUAAAAUACCUAAAACAACCAUGAACCCUCCCUCCCCACUGAAUGAUCUCAUAAUAUAUGAAAAACAUCAUGCUAGAACUAGUAACAUGAACCUAAAGUUCUCCUAAAUGUAAAUAUAAGCCAAAAUGGAUACUCCAUUGGCAGUUAACGAAAAUGACCAUCUUACAGAAACAUAUCAAGAAAACCCUGAAUUUCCAAUCGUUAACCUAACACCAGAACAUUUCCGGAAAGAUUAAAAGAAAAAGAAGGAACUCGGCAAACUUCCACCCCGCCUGUUUACCAAAAACAUCGCCUCUUGACACUAAUAAGAGGUCAAGCCUGCCCAGUGACAAAGUUCAACGGCCGCGGUACCCUAACCACGCAAAGGUAGCAUAAUCACUUGUCCCCUAAAUAGGGACUUGUAUCAACGGCAUCACGAGGGUCGCACUGUCUCCUUACUCCAAUCAGUGAAACUGAUCUCCCUGUGAAAAAGCAGGGAUAAAUAUAUAAGACGAGAAGACCCCAUGGAGCUUUAAACCCACAGCAACUUAACUUUAAACUUCUGCACAUCUAAAAGAAAUGCCCAUUGGUUUUAGGUUGGGGUGACCACGGAGUAAAAAUAAACCUCCAUAACGCAUAAACCUAAAUUUUUAUUCAAGAGCCACAACUCUAAAAACUAGCACACUAAUGUCCACUGAUCCGAUAGUCGAUUAAUGAACCAAGUUACCCUGGGGAUAACAGCGCAAUCUAUUUCAAGAGUUCUUAUCGACAAAUAGGCUUACGACCUCGAUGUUGGAUCAGGGUAUCCUAGUGGUGCAACCGCUACUAACGGUUCGUUUGUUCAACGAUUAAAACCCU